CAUUCUCUUUUCUUAAUCCUUAUUAAUAAAAUCAAUUCAACUUAAAAUUUUAUGGUGUUUUUAGUUUAAUUUAAAAAUGGCAGCAGCUAUUUAAGUCUUUGACUGUAUAUUACCAUAUAUUGUUCUUUAUCCACAAAUUAAUAGCUGAUAUUUAUACUGAGUUUGUUUCAUUAUAUGUUUAGAUUUUUCAAUACAUCUAUAAAUUGAGAAACUGUACCAAUUGCUUUCUUGAAAAACUCCACUAAGUGGCAGAAUACCUAUUGGAUAUUGGUUGCUGUAUUUUGCUGUUUGUCAUUAAAAAUUAUCUAUCCAUAUUCUAGAAAAUAUUUGUAUUUUAAUAGAUAAGAAAAUAGUUUGCAGUCAGAUGUUUCCAUUCUUGAAAGAAAAUAGAUAAUACAAAUCAUAACAAUGUUAAGAAUAUUAAAAAAAAGAGUAAAAGGUAUG
RNAcentral lists this long non-coding RNA (444 nucleotides) under Bos taurus (domestic cattle). Its description in RNAcentral is "long non-coding RNA NONBTAT013791". Lineage: Eukaryota; Metazoa; Chordata; Mammalia; Artiodactyla; Bovidae. The record is from RNAcentral.